Molecule: ribosomal RNA, 256 nt
Filed under: uncultured bacterium
Lineage: Bacteria
Description: partial 16S ribosomal RNA
Rfam family: Bacterial small subunit ribosomal RNA
Source: RNAcentral
CGGGUGAGUAACACGUAUGGAACCUGCCCUAUGCAGGGGGAUAAGCGGAAGAAAUUCCGUCUAAUACCGCAUAACACCAUUUUGGAGACAUCUCCAGGUGGUCAAAGGAGGCGACUCCGGCAUAGGAUGGCCAUGCGUCGCAUUAGCUAGUCGGCGAGGUAACGGCCCACCGAGGCGACGAUGCGUAGGGGUUCUGAGAGGAAGGUCCCCCACACUGGUACUGAGACACGGACCAGACUCCUACGGGAGGCAGCAG